Molecule: ribosomal RNA, 492 nt
Filed under: uncultured bacterium
Lineage: Bacteria
Description: partial 16S ribosomal RNA
Rfam family: Bacterial small subunit ribosomal RNA
Source: RNAcentral
AGUGAACGCUGGCGGUAGGCCUAACACAUGCAAGUCGAACGGCAGCACAGUAAGAGCUUGCUCUUACGGGUGGCGAGUGGCGGACGGGUGAGGAGUACAUCGGAAUCUACUUUUUCGUGGGGGAUAACGUAGGGAAACUUACGCUAAUACCGCAUACGACCUACGGGUGAAAGCAGGGGAUCUUCGGACCUUGCGCGAUUGAUUGAGCCGAUGUCGGAUUAGCUAGUUGGCGGGGUAAAGGCCCACCCAGGCGACGAUCCGUAGCUGGUCUGAGAGGAUGAGCAGCCACACUGGAACUGAGACACGGUCCAGACUCCUACGGGAGGCAGCAGUGGGGAAUAUUGGACAAUGGGCGCAAGCCUGAUCCAGCCAUACCGCGUGGGUGAAGAAGGCCUUCGGGUUGUAAAGCCCUUUUGUUGGGAAAGAAAAGCAGCAGGUUAAUACCCCGCUGUUCUGACGGUACCCAAAGAAUAAGCACCGGCUAACUUCGUG